GGGGGCGAUUUUGGUUUCGACGCUGAUAUUGAGGCCAAAGGUGCAUGUCGAGCAACACAAAAAGGCUCGUAAAAUAAAUAUUGUAAAUUUUAGUUGCAAACGAUAGCAGCUUCAAUGGUGGUGUAGUACAAGCAGCUGCCUAACGGCAAAUGUUUUGUUUUACACGCUGCCGCUUAAUAACCGGCAACACCCUACCGACCAGAUUCGCUUAUCGGUUUGAAUCGGUAGUCAGAUAGGUAAGAUCGCAAUCAUUGCAUGGCUCGUGUCGUGGUUGUUAAAACAUAGGGCUCGCCGUUAAAUAAUCCUGACUGCUGGAGUGUUAACGGUUAAAACAAAACGCAGCUCUAAACAUGUAGAGCCGAUGGAUGAGAGUCAACGGACGCGGGUUCGAUCCCCGCCGCCUCCAUUU
RNAcentral lists this transfer-messenger RNA (409 nucleotides) under Coxiellaceae. Its description in RNAcentral is "g 2-02-FULL-42-43 X1 Standard tmRNA". It matches the Rfam family "transfer-messenger RNA". Rfam says of the family: Bacterial tmRNA, also known as 10Sa RNA or SsrA, is named for its dual tRNA and mRNA-like properties. Lineage: Bacteria; Pseudomonadati; Pseudomonadota; Gammaproteobacteria; Legionellales. RNAcentral also lists the same sequence under 1 other name. The record is from RNAcentral.